This 253-nucleotide ribosomal RNA is filed under the name uncultured bacterium. Its description in RNAcentral is "partial 16S ribosomal RNA". It matches the Rfam family "Bacterial small subunit ribosomal RNA", at positions 524 to 776 of the family's 1533-position model. The record is from RNAcentral.
UACGUAGGGGGCAAGCGUUGUCCGGAUUUAUUGGGCGUAAAGAGCGUGUAGGCGGCUUGACAAGUCCGCUGUGAAAACUCGAGGCUCAACCUCGAGCUGUCGGUGGAAACUGUCUAGCUAGAGUGCGAGAGAGGUGAGUGGAAUUCCCAGUGUAGAGGUGAAAUUCGUAGAUAUUGGGAAGAACACCCGUGGCGAAGGCGGCUUCCUGGACGUCUACUGACGCUGAGACGCGAAAGCGUGGGGAGCAAACAGG